GAUGAACGCUAGCGGCAGGCCUAACACAUGCAAGUCGAGGGGGAAGUUACUUUCGGGUGACUGAGACCGGCGUACGGGUGCGUAACGCGUAUACAAUCUGCCUUUCACUGGGGGAUAGCCCGAAGAAAUUUGGAUUAAUACCCCAUAGUAUAUAGGGACGGCAUCGUUUUUAUAUUAAAGCUUAGGUGGUGAAAGAUGAGUAUGCGUUCUAUUAGCUAGUUGGAGAGGUAACGGCUCCCCAAGGCGAUGAUAGAUAGGGGUUCUGAGAGGGGUGUCCCCCACACUGGUACUGAGAUACGGACCAGACUCCUACGGGAGGCAGCAGUGAGGAAUAGUGGACAAUGGUCGGAAGACUGAUCCAGCCAUGCCGCGUGCAGGAUGAAGGUCUUAUGGAUUGUAAACUGCUUUUGUAAGGGAAGAAUAAGGGCUACGCGUAGUUUGAUGACGGUACCUUACGAAUAAGCAUCGGCUAACUCCGUG
RNAcentral lists this ribosomal RNA (480 nucleotides) under uncultured bacterium. RNAcentral describes it as "partial 16S ribosomal RNA". It matches the Rfam family "Bacterial small subunit ribosomal RNA", at positions 28 to 507 of the family's 1533-position model. The record is from RNAcentral.